Molecule: non-coding RNA, 723 nt
Organism: Castor canadensis (American beaver)
Lineage: Eukaryota; Metazoa; Chordata; Mammalia; Rodentia; Castoridae
Source: RefSeq, a predicted model, not a curated record
UAUCUGAAGUUUUUGAUUUACAAGGAAUGAACUAAAUCAGUCUCUCAGGUAUUUCUUUAAAGCUUUUUCUCUUGUGGGAGAAACUCAAGAGCGAGAAAGAGUACUAAUACAUUUCUCCAAUAGGUACUUCUAUUGCAAUCCAGAUACCAUUGCUUCACAAGAUGGAGUGCACUGCCUUACCUGCGCCAUGAUGCUGCUUAACACCGAUCUCCAUGGCCACGUAAGUGCAAGGCUUGUGAUGCUGACCUGCAGAGAUCUACAUUUUCACCAGUGCUUGUCCUUGCUUCUGUGUCUGUAAACAGUUGUUCUCUGCCUUCCUUUUGUUUGUUUUCCUUGUGGUUCCCAUGGCAGGAAGAUAAGUAUAAAUCUUCAAAAAAAAUAAAGGCUUUUUAUUUUACAUGCUAGCACAGAGCAUAACUUAAAGUACAUAGCACAUCGUCUAGGGGCCUGGAGUGGUUUGCGCAGUAAUGUGUGUGUUCUGCGUCUUAUCUCUCCACCAGGUGGCAGUCAGAGGUCAUACUUGUUUUUGUUUUUUGUUUUGUUUUGUGUUUUGAUGAGUUGUUGAUACAGUGUUGGAAAGAGAAUGUAAGUUAGAUCUGAAAACAUCAUACGCAUAUCUUAGACUUAGCAGUAAGUCUAAGAAUUCAGCCUUUUUUUCAUUCCUCAGCUCACUUAGUUUUUUUAACUAGCUAAAAUAUAUAAAUAAAAAAUAUGAAAAUAACU